UACGUAGGGUCCGAGCGUUGUCCGGAAUUACUGGGCGUAAAGCGCAUGCAGGCGGAUUGUUAAGUCGGGGGUGAAAUCCCGAGGCUCAACCUCGGAACUGCCUUCGAUACUGGCAAUCUUGAGUCCGGGAGAGGUGAGUGGAACUGCGAGUGUAGAGGUGAAAUUCGUAGAUAUUCGCAAGAACACCAGUGGCGAAGGCGGCUCACUGGCCCGGUACUGACGCUGAGGUGCGAAAGCGUGGGGAGCAAACAGG
This 253-nucleotide ribosomal RNA is filed under the name uncultured bacterium. RNAcentral's name for it is "partial 16S ribosomal RNA". It matches the Rfam family "Bacterial small subunit ribosomal RNA", at positions 524 to 776 of the family's 1533-position model. The record is from RNAcentral.